This 520-nucleotide ribosomal RNA is filed under the name uncultured Glomus. RNAcentral's name for it is "SSU rRNA". It matches the Rfam family "Eukaryotic small subunit ribosomal RNA", at positions 569 to 1090 of the family's 1831-position model. The record is from RNAcentral. Lineage: Eukaryota; Fungi; Glomeromycota; Glomeromycetes; Glomerales; Glomeraceae.
AGCAGCCGCGGUAAUUCCAGCUCCAAUAGCGUAUAUUAAAGUUGCUGCAGUUAAAGAGCUCGUAGUUGAAUUUCGGGACUAAUAUGUUGGUCGUGCCUCGGUACGUACUGAUAUUUUUGGUUUCUCCCUUCUGACGAACCUUGAUGUCAUUAAUUUGGUGUCUUGGGAAAUCAGGACUGUUACUUUGAAAAAAUUAGAGUGUUUAAAGCAGGCUCACGCUUGAAUACAUUAGCAUGGAAUAAUGAAAUAGGACGUUUGAUUCUAUUUUGUUGGUUUCUAGGAUUGACGUAAUGAUUAAUAGGGAUAGUUGGGGGCAUUAGUAUUCAAUUGUCAGAGGUGAAAUUCUUGGAUUUAUUGAAGACUAACUACUGCGAAAGCAUUUGCCAAGGAUGUUUUCAUUAAUCAAGAACGAAAGUUAGGGGAUCGAAGACGAUCAGAUACCGUCGUAGUCUUAACCAUAAACCAUGCCGACUAGGGAUCGGAUGAUGUUAAUUUUUUUAAUGACUCAUUCGGCGCCUUA